CCUACGGGAGGCAGCAGUGAGGAAUAUUGGUCAAUGGGCGCGAGCCUGAACCAGCCAAGUAGCGUGAAGGAUGAAUGCCCUAGGGGUUGUAAACUCCUUUUAUAAAGGAAUAAAGUGAGGCACGUGUGCCUUUUUGUAUGUACUUUAUGAAUAAGGAUCGGCUAACUCCGUGCCAGAAGCCGCGGUAAUACGGAGGAACCGAGCGUUAUCCGGAUUUAUUGGGUUUAAAGGGAGAGUAGAUGGGUUGUUAAGUCAGUUGUGAAAGUUUGCGGCUCAACCGUAAAAUUGCAAUUGAUACUGGCAGCCUUGAGUACAGUUGAGGUAGGCGGAAUUCGUGGUGUAGCGGUGAAAUGCUUAGAUAUCACGAAGAACUCCGAUUGCGAAGGCAGCUUACUAAACUGCCACUGACAUUGAUGCUCGAAAGUGUGGGUAUCAAACAGGAUUAGAUACCCGAGUAGUC
RNAcentral lists this ribosomal RNA (460 nucleotides) under uncultured bacterium. Its description in RNAcentral is "partial 16S ribosomal RNA". It matches the Rfam family "Bacterial small subunit ribosomal RNA", at positions 338 to 795 of the family's 1533-position model. The record is from RNAcentral.